CCCUAUGGGGUGCACGAAGCGGGUGUUGCGAUGGAUAGUACUGUCGAUGCGAUCAGUGGCAUUGAAAAAGGUUCAAAGCAAAUGGAGCAGGCGGUAGAACUAAUCACUGAUAUUGCUGAACAAACCAAUUUGCUUGCGCUGAAUGCGGCAAUUGAGGCGGCGCGGGCUGGCGAACACGGGAAAGGGUUUGCCGUAGUUGCUGACGAAGUCCGUAGCCUUGCCGAACGAAGUGCGUCAACCGCGAAGGAGAUUAAAACACGUAUUAAAGAGAACCUCGAUAGUGUGAGUGCGGGUGUACAGAUAUCUCAAACCGCGGGCCAGAAAAUUCAACAAAUUGUUGCGAAUAUUGAACGAAUAACGAUGCAGCUAUCGACAAUUUCGGCUUCAACUCAGGAGCAGGCUGCGGCGAUGGAGCAGAAUACGUCGAUCACUGAGGCAAAUGCCUCGGCAUCGGAGGAAUUGGCGGGAGGGC
Molecule: ribosomal RNA, 472 nt
Filed under: uncultured prokaryote
Description: partial 16S ribosomal RNA
Source: RNAcentral